Nyctereutes procyonoides (raccoon dog) is the source of this 1793-nucleotide long non-coding RNA. RefSeq lists it as uncharacterized. The transcript has 4 exons. NCBI's taxonomy places the organism in Eukaryota, Metazoa, Chordata, Mammalia, Carnivora, Canidae. The record is from RefSeq and is a predicted model, not a curated record.
GCCCCGCGCCGCCUGCCGCGGCCGCGCGGUCCGGGGCCCCCACGUCCCCGCCCGCUUCCCUCCAAGCCCCACGAGCCUUUGGGCCGAGACCUCGCCCGCCCCCGGGCCCGGCGCGCGGAGGGUGGAGCGCAGCGCGGGCGCCGCGGAGGCGGAGGCGGGGACGGCGGGGACCGCGAGGACGGCGGGGACCGCGAGCCCCGCUCCCGCUGCUCACCUGCGCUCCGGCCCGCGGCGCCCGCGAGUCCCGCGCCCCCCGCCGCGCAGGGACCGCCCCCGGCCUCCCAGGGCCCCCCCGCCCCCCGGGAAGUCGGCCAAGGCUUCCGGCGCUGGGUGCACCUCUCGGACGACACCCCCCAUCGCACAGGCGCCGGCAGUUCUGGAGGCCAGUGGGAGUCCGCCCGCCAGGGGCCCCGGCUGCCUGAGACCCCCGGGGUCCUCUUGUCUGCGGCGCUUCCAGCGAGAUUCUCCUAGCAGGGUCGCUCCCACUCCUCUGGCCGGAAAGGUUCUGGCAGAAAUGUGCGGAAUUUGAGUCUCUUCUCCCAAGCGUGGGGGUGGGGGAGAUGGGGAGUGGGAGAAGGGACCAGACCCUGGAAACCUGAAUCCGAUGCCUGGAAGGCGCUCAAACCAAUCACUAUUGAAGUGGCUGUGGGACACCGCCUCAAACCUUAUGGUUAGAAGUAUUUGAGAAGACUUGGGUCCAAUAUCCCAAAGCUAAAGUCCUACUGGUUUCAUUGCUUUGUUUGCUUAGAAAAGGAAUCUCGGUUCUUUGGUUUCUGCCCCACAAGUGACCCGAAUUGCUGUGCCGUAGGGUUGCAGUUUGGGAACCAGUCUAUCAGCGCUGUGCCGGUCGUACUAGGAAGCGCUUUCUUCUCUCUGGGAGACACGAGAAGUGCAAGACAAACAGGCCUGAGAGCGAGCAUCGGAAGAUAAAAUUUAGCAGAUGGAAAUAUUUGGGGAUCUUUUUCUCUGUUGUACAGCAGAUCAUUUUUCACAAUAUGGGCCAAUAACAAUCUCAUAAUCACCCACUCUGACGACCUUCGGAGUUACGAGGCACAAAGGAACUGCUGCUGUCAGUGGGGAUAAAAAAGGAAAUUGAAAAUUUAUGAAGCCCUGUAUAAACGUCAGGACUUUCUCUGGGCAGAAGUCAGGCCAAGGGGCCCUGCUCCUGCUCCAUCUCACCCCAUCCUGGCCAGCUUGCUGACAAUAAUAUGAAGAGGGGAAGUGGAGGGACAGUGAGCGGUCAGGUGUGACCCAGUUCCAAGCCAAUGAGUUGUAAGGAGAAUUGAGAGGCUUCAACACAUAUUUGCCUCCCUGAGGAAAAGAGGAGGGGAGGAGAAAGACUCUCAUUCUCCUCUCUAGUCAAACCUUAACCUGAGUCGCCUUUGGACGCAGUCAAGUGAGGAUGGGAUGUCUGGAGCUACAGCAGGAUCUUGAGAUCAUGAGGGGCAGACCGGAAGAGUCAAAGCCAUCAUGCAAAUACCGAGCUUACCCCAUAAGGAUGACUUCAUAUGCAUACAAAGGGCUGCCAUAUUGCAAACUGGGUGACUUAAAACAACAGAAAUUUAUUGUCACACUGUUCCAGAAGCUAGAAGUCUAAAAUCAAGAUGUCAACAGAGCCCUGUUCCCUCUGAAACCUGUCAAAGAGAAUCCUUCCGGGACACCUGGGUGGCUCUGCGGUUGACGGCUGCCUUUGCCUCGGGGCAUGAUCCCAAUUCCGGGAUGGAGUACCACAUCAGGCUCCCUAUGAGGGGCCUGCUUCUCCCUCUGCCUAUGUCUCUGCCUCUCUCUGUGUC